AUAAUAAAUAUUAACUAUGUUCAGAAAGAAGUAUAUAGAAUAAUACACUUGUGUAGGCAAAAUAAUGGCCCCCGAAGACUUCAGUGUCCUAAUGCCCAGGCCCUGUAGUUAGAUGGCAAGUUGAAUUAAGGUUACUAAUUAGCUGACUUAAAACAGGAAAAAUAUCCUGGGUUAUCUGGGAAGGCCCAAUGUAAUUACAAGGGUUCUUAAAAGUGGAAGAGGAAGCCAGAAAAAGCUAAUCAAAGAAAAAGAUGUGUUGAUGAAGAAGCCAGCUAUGUUGCUGGCUUUAAAGAUGGCUGAAGGGGGCCAUGAACCAAGGAAUGUGUUCUGCCUCCAGAAGCCUGAAAAGGACAGGAAAUGGACUCUCCCCUAGACUCUCCAGAAGGGGCACAUGCCUGCCAGUACCUCAAUUUGAAGGGUUUCAAAGUACACAUGACUUAUUCUCAACACAUUCCUGAAAUCAGCAGCAACCUCUGGAAAGCCCACCUCUUCUCUACAUACCACUUCUUCAACAGAGUCACAACCAUUGUUCCAGAAGCUCCAUUGUAAGAGUUUACACCUGCCUGUCGUUCAUAAAGAUGUUUGACACUCUCAGAAACCAUUCCAUCACCUGCUGCCAGCUGGACCAGUGGAUCUUGGUGCUGCCAGAAAUCGGAACCAUGUGCUGAUUACUCACUCUGAGCGCCACUCCUGUUACCAGAAACCCUGCUUUCUGCCCAGGCCCAGCCCACACCGUGACGGGUUCACACACACACGAUGAGGAUCCCAGCCCAUAUGUUCAAGCUCUGGCGACAUCACCACCGCCUUUUGGCCACCACUUGGGCUGCUGGUGCCACACCAGCGGCACAGUCGGCCCUUUGAAGGGUAGAUCAAGAUUAGAGGCCCACACCAGUCCUGGAAGCAGGGCUUUGGGCAAGAAUUCUGGGGGCUGGGAACCCAGAGUGUGACCUAAUAGGGGAGGCAUGGCUCUGAGUAAAAAAUCCAUCUGGCCUGUGGACUCCUUGCCCUGCCAGGAGGAGUGACCAGAAAAGGGCAGGGGUAGGGGUCUCUAAAGAGUGGUCCCCAGGAGAAGAGUUAUGCUUGCCAAGACCUAAGAGCUAAUAUAUCUGGCCAAAUAAUAAAUAAGCCAAAAGCAUGAGUUAAUGCUGGAACCUGCACAGAUCUGGAUAGCCGUAAGUAAUUGUUCAACUAUAAAACACAGAGGCACAAGAUGUUUCAAGUGGUUUGUCUGCUGCCUCUCAUAGAAAACUUACUCAUUCUGGGCAGUAGGCAUGGUCUCUGGUAGGUAUAAGGGCUAGAAAUUAAAUGAAUAAACUCUGUACUUAAAUAUUUAACUGGAGAGGUUGCAUUCCCAUAA
This is a long non-coding RNA of Artibeus jamaicensis (Jamaican fruit-eating bat), 1357 nucleotides long. RefSeq lists it as uncharacterized. NCBI's taxonomy places the organism in Eukaryota, Metazoa, Chordata, Mammalia, Chiroptera, Phyllostomidae. The transcript is spliced from 4 exons. The record is from RefSeq and is a predicted model, not a curated record.